RNAcentral lists this ribosomal RNA (474 nucleotides) under Klebsiella michiganensis. RNAcentral's name for it is "bacterial SSU rRNA". It matches the Rfam family "Bacterial small subunit ribosomal RNA", at positions 1 to 473 of the family's 1533-position model. The record is from RNAcentral. Lineage: Bacteria; Pseudomonadati; Pseudomonadota; Gammaproteobacteria; Enterobacterales; Enterobacteriaceae.
AAAUUGAAGAGUUUGAUCAUGGCUCAGAUUGAACGCUGGCGGCAGGCCUAACACAUGCAAGUCGAAUGGUAGCACAGAGAGCUUGCUCUCGGGUGACGAGUGGCGGACGGGUGAGUAAUGUCUGGGAAACUGCCUGAUGGAGGGGGAUAACUACUGGAAACGGUAGCUAAUACCGCAUAACGUCGCAAGACCAAAGAGGGGGACCUUCGGGCCUCUUGCCAUCAGAUGUGCCCAGAUGGGAUUAGCUAGUAGGUGGGGUAACGGCUCACCUAGGCGACGAUCCCUAGCUGGUCUGAGAGGAUGACCAGCCACACUGGAACUGAGACACGGUCCAGACUCCUACGGGAGGCAGCAGUGGGGAAUAUUGCACAAUGGGCGAAAGCCUGAUGCAGCCAUGCCGCGUGUAUGAAGAAGGCCUUCGGGUUGUAAAGUACUUUCAGCGGGGAGGAAGGCGAUAAGGUUAAUAACCUUGUC